This 2303-nucleotide long non-coding RNA is filed under the name Sarcophilus harrisii (Tasmanian devil). RNAcentral describes it as "lncRNA (ENSSHAG00000032219.1)". Lineage: Eukaryota; Metazoa; Chordata; Mammalia; Dasyuromorphia; Dasyuridae. The record is from RNAcentral.
GGCAGGAUUGCAAGAAGCUUGCCAGGGUUGUUAGGACCAUUUAAAACCAGCCCUGCCCUCAGGAAACUUACACUCUAUCGGUUAGAGGAAGGCGGUGCCCGGGGUCUCGCAAGCGCAGCCCCCUCCCCCGUCCCGAGGCGACAGCCUUCGUGCCCCCGGUACGGCCUACGGGCUCCCGCGCAGCAGGGCCUUGUGCAACUGGGGGCGUCCGCAGCCCUCUCAAACGCGGCCGACCGGGGGGCUUCGGACCCGCCCAGAAGCCGGGAGCAGGGUCAGAGACGCAGACUGCACCUCGGGAAGUGCGCGGCCCCUAGACUCCCGGCGCUGCGCUCUUGUGACCGCGGACUGUUCCCCUGCGCUCGCGGGCCUCAGGGGUCCCGCCCCAGAGAGAAGGGGUCGCACAGAGGCGUUCACUUCCGUCCCCUGCGCUUGCUUCGCCUGGGAAAGGAAAGGGCUGGCUCAGAUACUCUCCGAGACCCCUUUUACUUGAGCUCGGAGCUGUGUUUCCAGCCUCCAUGUCUUCCCCCCCUCCCGAGCCUGGACAUAUGUGACUUUUUCGCCUCCUCUUUUCAGAGUCCUGGUUCUUCCUCCAAGCGUCGGCUCCACGAUGCCGCGGAAACCCCCCAGGGAUGCUUCAUUGAUAAAGCUAGUUCUUAGGGCUUUCUCCCUCCUGAAAUGAUCCGAGUGUGCCUCUCUGUUUAUCAGAGCGCUUAGUGAGUGUCAGCUGGAUGGAGGAUGAUCCCAUGAAUUCCUGCCUCCAGAUUCAGGCCUCUUUCUCCCAACCCUUCUCCCCUCCCCCAAUUACAGAGGGCUAGAGAGGACCCAGCUCCUUCACACUUGGUGUAUGGGGCAGCAUGAGUGGGAAAGGAAGCGUGCGAGAUGCUUUUCCUAGGCUGGGCCACAGGGAACGAGCUCUUAGAAGGGGAGGAUGGACGCUGCUUUCCUUUUUAAGGAACAUCUUAAGAAUUUAGAGUUGGAAAUGGCAAUCUUCAGGAAGAGAUGUUUAACCCUAGGCUAGGAAGCUGGAGUUCGGGAUGCUAAUCUCAGCUCAGCCGUGGGCUCCUCCGCUGGCCUUCCUCCGUAGCCUCAGUUUCCUCCAUAGUAAAAUGGGGAUAAAAACACGGUUUCUGGUAGGCAAAAGCUAAGGAAAUUGUCGUCCACAAUCGCUUUAAGAGAGAAGGGGUGGAGAGACGCUGUUUGAGGAUCUCUCUCUCCUCAAUCUAAAUACUUCCCAGCGCACCACGGCUGCUCUCCCAAUCAGAUUGUAGACGGUUUAACAGAUUCUAAUCAGCAUUUGUGAGACCACCCCAGGGGUGUUAAUCUAAAGAUUGUUUGGGGGAGAUUUAGGAGAAACUUCGAUUCUUCUCUCCAGCCCCACUUUAACACCUUCUAAAGACUAUUGUCCCCUUUAGUGCGGGGAAAUUUAGACUGGGAAGUCAGAGCUGGGUAGAGACAUAGGUGCUGUCUCCUUUCUCCAGCCCAACAAACUUUGCAGUUGAGGAAAUUGAGGCUCAAAGAUUCCAACCCUAAAAUUUUAUGGCAAGGUGGGUUUUCUGUAUUUUUGCUGUGUCGUCCUGGGCAAGUCACCAUGACGUGCUGUGGCUCAGUUUCCCAUGGAUCACUCACUUAACUUGAAUAGGCCUCAGUUUCCACAUCUGCAAAGUAAGAAGAUGGGCCUCUGCAGUUUCUUCCAACUGGGAAUCUCUGAUUUCAUGAUCUCCCAACAUCUCUAAUAUAUGCCCGGGAAGCUUUUCUGUAUUUUCGUUUGCUUGGCCCUAGGCAAGUCAUUUUGAUUCAGUUUUCUUAUCAAUAAAAUGAGGGGACUGCAUCAAAUAUGUUUAGGCUUUGGGACAAAUAAUGAGGAUAGUGCUUUAAGAUCUGCAAAGAUAAAGGUGCCCAUUUUGCAGAUAGGAGAUUAUUUAAGUGAUCUGCCCGGAGUCACACGGGGGAAAUUGGAACUCAGAUUCUUCCAAGUCUAGGUUCAGCCCUCUACCCUCUGCACCACCUCGCUGACUUCUUGCUGAUGUUGGUAUUGGGCCCUGGCCUUGAGGGAUGGCUCAGGUUUCAACAGUUAAAAGUAGGGGAGGGAGAAAAGGUAAAAGCUGGGAGGACUCGGGAACCUUUGGCUAAGAGAGCUCUCAUUUCUCCUGGAGGCUUUAGAGCUUAGCAAGGUACAUCUCUAUCCUUCCUUUGUCAGGCCCAGUCCAAGCUUUACUGCCGUCCUGGGAAUAUCAUGUUGUCCAUUCAAAAGCUGGGGGAGGGAAACCCUACCCAACCUGGAGCACCACCUGGGGUCAGAGAAG